GGCAGGGUAGCUCAACGGUGGAGCGGUGUCUUCAUAAGGCAACGGUUGAGGGUCCGAAUCCCUCCCCUGCUA
This 72-nucleotide transfer RNA is filed under the name Candidatus Gottesmanbacteria bacterium. RNAcentral describes it as "tRNA-Met". It matches the Rfam family "tRNA". From Rfam's summary of the family: Transfer RNA (tRNA) molecules are approximately 80 nucleotides in length. Their secondary structure includes four short double-helical elements and three loops (D, anti-codon, and T loops). Further hydrogen bonds mediate the characteristic L-shaped molecular structure. tRNAs have two regions of fundamental functional importance: the anti-codon, which is responsible for specific mRNA codon recognition, and the 3' end, to which the tRNAs corresponding amino acid is attached (by aminoacyl-tRNA synthetases). tRNAs cope with the degeneracy of the genetic code in two manners: having more than one tRNA (with a specific anti-codon) for a particular amino acid; and 'wobble' base-pairing, i.e. permitting non-standard base-pairing at the 3rd anti-codon position. The record is from RNAcentral. Lineage: Bacteria; Candidatus Gottesmaniibacteriota.